GUGGACGGACGAUCUGUCAUUAUUCUGCUAGAUGGCGCUCUCGUUUGUUUACGUUGUGCAAACUGAGCCCCUACAGGCUCCAGUAGUGUUUAAAUCUUCCGGGGAGAGAAACUCUCUCUAUUUGAUGAAAAUUAUAAGAUUUGGUGUAAUUUGUGAACGAGUCAGGUGCUGGCACCCCGGCAAUGUUUUCGCUCUCCCGGUAUGGCAUCAAACACGGAACCACAUAAUCCAUCAUGUUACGAAAGUCGAUCCCUUUGGUAAACAAACGCGUGAAAUGUAUGGCUUGGUCCCUACUAUUUGCCGUAGAUAAUCAAUCGGUUCGAACUGUACCGGGGCAGCCGCCUGGGUUUGUUUACCCACGAGGGCCGGUCGCGCACCAGGCAAGGACGCGCGCGCGUCUAGGAGAGGCUAGAAAACUAUUAGUAACCCAAAAUGUGGCCAGACACCGCUGCGUGUUUGUGAAAGCAGGCGCACACGUUGUUUGAUUAGCUGAUUGGAAAAUGCGAUGUAAUGGGUUAAAUACGACGUGCUGUGGCUGGGCAGGAGCGCAGCACCGCCAUUAAACGCCUUCGGAGAAAAUGUGGCAAUACAACACACACACCAAGUACCCCUUAUAAACGGUUGGAACAGUAAAUCCCUUUUCCCGCGGAUACCGGUGGGAACACACUAACCGAGUGCCGAGCGACCCCUCGUUUGCUGCACUUAAUAUGCUGUUGGAAUUCUCCCGGGGGUCCGGUCGGGGCUGUUCCGUUUGCGAGCAUUGCGUGCGGCACGGACGGUGCAUUUUCCACGUACAGCAAGCCCAUCAGCCUUGAUUGUGUGUGUGUGACAUUGAGGCACUGUGGAGGCUUAUCGUGUCGGUUGGCGACGGGUGAGAGAAAAAUUAUUAUCAAAAUAAUCGUAAUUAUCGCUUGUAAUUUGUAUUUACUAGGAACGCCCGUACUCGCCCCAGCAGCACGAGGGCGGAAACACGUCCACGGAGUGGUGACGAUUAGUCCAAGGAUUAUUGACUCGACCGGCGUGUGCGCCCGGGGGAAUGUCCUGUUGUUCGCUCUUACCAUCCAACGAGCCCAUGCCGGGUAAAGAUUGCAUGAUUUAAUUUAAUCUACCCCCGUUUUCUAUUCACCACUCACCAUUUGCCUCUUGCGUACAGAAAAGAACUGCGCACAGCACGGAAUGGAUAUUGCGCUGUUUGAAUGGUGGACGGUGUAGAGCACGUGGAGCACAAAUAGUGCGUCCCCUACGUGUCACGCUUGCUGACGAGUUGGGGUUGUUUUUCUUUUUGCUGUUUUGGUUGUUAAACAUAAACGGUUAAGCACAAGCGGCUGGUAGUAUUGAAAGCUUGCACAGAGCACAAUACAUUUAAAACAGCAGCUUGAAAAAAUCAAUUGACGUACAAAACACUAUUCGCUAAUGCACUGUAUUUCGUAGCAUUUGUGCAGACAAACAGCGCUAAUAAAACAUUGCCAUACACACACGCACAUCUUCAGUGCGAGAGCUGCUGGAAGGCGUCACUGGGCAAAACCAUAACGCCAUUAGGCGCUAGCCUUUUGCGUACUGGUACUGUGCCCCACAGGUCGCACACUCGACUGUUAAGUUAAGUCGUGUUCCAAGUGGCCAUAGACUCUUCCACCCACCCGCACGAACUCUCAUCGACACUGGUGGUGUACAACAAUACACCGUACCG
Long non-coding RNA from Anopheles arabiensis, 1687 nucleotides. RefSeq lists it as uncharacterized. The record is from RefSeq and is a predicted model, not a curated record. The transcript is spliced from 3 exons. NCBI's taxonomy places the organism in Eukaryota, Metazoa, Arthropoda, Insecta, Diptera, Culicidae.